RNAcentral lists this long non-coding RNA (390 nucleotides) under Capsella rubella. RNAcentral's name for it is "long non-coding RNA (CRUB_LNC002039)". The record is from RNAcentral. Lineage: Eukaryota; Viridiplantae; Streptophyta; Magnoliopsida; Brassicales; Brassicaceae.
AACGUUUUAACAAAAUAAUAAUAAAAAUAUAAAAGAGAAGGUAAAAAAAAGAGAAACUGUUUCUGAAAGCUUUCUCUAGAGAACUCGUAUCUCUGUAUAAAUGACCAUAUGUCAUUCUAUUAAAUGUUAUAUCUGAUAAAAAAAAAGAAAAAAUAUAUAAUUAUAAAUUAAAUAAUAUUUUUCUUCAUUUGACAGAACUUUUGAAAGUCUCUCUCCGUUGAGGCUGGUCUUAGCUUCAGAGAAAAACACAUCUGGAAAUAUAUAAACUACGCUACUAAACUUACUAUGUUAUAACACCAAGUUUUUUAAAAAAUUGUACCAAAGUCAACCAUAUUCAAUAACUAUACGUGAUAUAUGUGUGAACAUUAGAAAAAAGAAAAAAAUAGUUUG